Molecule: ribosomal RNA, 372 nt
Filed under: Staphylococcus simulans
Lineage: Bacteria; Bacillati; Bacillota; Bacilli; Caryophanales; Staphylococcaceae
Description: bacterial SSU rRNA
Rfam family: Bacterial small subunit ribosomal RNA
Source: RNAcentral
CCCUUGACGGUACCUAAUCAGAAAGCCACGGCUAACUACGUGCCAGCAGCCGCGGUAAUACGUAGGUGGCAAGCGUUAUCCGGAAUUAUUGGGCGUAAAGCGCGCGUAGGCGGUUUUUUAAGUCUGAUGUGAAAGCCCACGGCUCAACCGUGGAGGGUCAUUGGAAACUGGAAAACUUGAGUGCAGAAGAGGAAAGUGGAAUUCCAUGUGUAGCGGUGAAAUGCGCAGAGAUAUGGAGGAACACCAGUGGCGAAGGCGACUUUCUGGUCUGCAACUGACGCUGAUGUGCGAAAGCGUGGGGAUCAAACAGGAUUAGAUACCCUGGUAGUCCACGCCGUAAACGAUGAGUGCUAAGUGUUAGGGGGUUUCCGC